RNAcentral lists this transfer RNA (69 nucleotides) under Chelonus munakatae. Its description in RNAcentral is "tRNA-Lys". Lineage: Eukaryota; Metazoa; Arthropoda; Insecta; Hymenoptera; Braconidae. The record is from RNAcentral.
UAUUAGUUAUCUUAAUUAUUAAAGAUUUAAUUUUUUAAAUUAAAGAUAAUAUUUUUAUAUUACUAGUAA